Molecule: ribosomal RNA, 451 nt
Filed under: Bosmina longirostris
Lineage: Eukaryota; Metazoa; Arthropoda; Branchiopoda; Diplostraca; Bosminidae
Description: partial 16S ribosomal RNA
Rfam family: Bacterial large subunit ribosomal RNA
Source: RNAcentral
CGCCUUAAAAUUUAUUUAAGGUACUGCCUGCUCAAUGCUUAAAGUAAAUAGCCGCAGUAUUUUGACUGUGCUAAGGUAGCAUAAUCAUUAGUCUUUUAAUUGAAGGCUGGUAUGAAUGGCAAGACGAGAAAGAAGCUGUCUCUUUAAAAUUAAUUGAAUUUCAUUUUUAAGUGAAAAAGCUUAAAUAAGUUUAAGGGACGAUCAGACCCUAUGGAGCUUAUUUGUUGGGGCGACAGAGAGAUGAAAAAACCACUCUUUUUAUUAAACUUAUAUUAACGGAAAAUUGAUCCCUAAAGAAGGAUUAAAAGACUAAGUUACCCUAGGGAUAACAGCGUAAUUUUUUUGGAGAGUUCAUAUCGAUAAAAAAGUUUGCGACCUCGAUGUUGGAUUAGGAAUUUAGCUAGGUGCAGAAGUUUAGUUGUAGAGUCUGUUCGACUUUUAAAAUCCUACA